Molecule: ribosomal RNA, 1346 nt
Filed under: uncultured bacterium
Lineage: Bacteria
Description: partial 16S ribosomal RNA
Rfam family: Bacterial small subunit ribosomal RNA
Source: RNAcentral
GACGAACUUAGGCGGCGUGCUUAACACAUGCAAGUCGAACGGAAAGGCCCUGCUUUUGUGGGGUGCUCGAGUGGCGAACGGGUGAGUAACACGUGAGUAACCUGCCCUUGACUUUGGGAUAACUUCAGGAAACUGGGGCUAAUACCGGAUAGGAGCUCCUGCUGCAUGGUGGGGGUUGAAGAGUUUCGGCGGUUGGGGAUGGACUCGCGGCUUAUCAGCUUGUUGGUGGGGUAGUGGCUUACCAAGGCUUUGACGGGUAGCCGGCCUGAGAGGGUGACCGGCCACAUUGGGACUGAGAUACGGCCCAGACUCCUACGGGAGGCAGCAGUGGGGAAUAUUGCACAAUGGGCGGAAGCCUGAUGCAGCAACGCCGCGUGCGGGAUGACGGCCUUCGGGUUGUAAACCGCUUUCGCCUGUGACGAAGCGUGAGUGACGGUAAUGGGUAAAGAAGCACCGGCUAACUACGUGCCAGCAGCCGCGGUGAUACGUAGGGUGCGAGCGUUGUCCGGAUUUAUUGGGCGUAAAGGGCUCGUAGGUGGUUGAUCGCGUCGGAAGUGUAAUCUUGGGGCUUAACCCUGAGCGUGCUUUCGAUACGGGUUGACUUGAGGAAGGUAGGGGAGAAUGGAAUUCCUGGUGGAGCGGUGGAAUGCGCAGAUAUCAGGAGGAACACCAGUGGCGAAGGCGGUUCUCUGGGCCUUUCCUGACGCUGAGGAGCGAAAGCGUGGGGAGCGAACAGGCUUAGAUACCCUGGUAGUCCACGCUGUAAACGGUGGGUACUAGGUGUGGGGUCCAUUCCACGGGUUCCGUGCCGUAGCUAACGCUUUAAGUACCCCGCCUGGGGAGUACGGCCGCAAGGCUAAAACUCAAAGGAAUUGACGGGGCCCCGCACAAGCGGCGGAGCAUGCGGAUUAAUUCGAUGCAACGCGUAGAACCUUACCUGGGUUUGACAUGGAUCGGGAGUGCUCAGAGAUGGGUGUGCCUCUUUUGGGGUCGGUUCACAGGUGGUGCAUGGCUGUCGUCAGCUCGUGUCGUGAGAUGUUGGGUUAAGUCCCGCAACGAGCGCAACCCUUGUUCACUGUUGCCAGCACGUUAUGGUGGGGACUCAGUGGAGACCGCCGGGGUCAACUCGGAGGAAGGUGGGGAUGACGUCAAGUCAUCAUGCCCCUUAUGUCCAGGGCUUCACGCAUGCUACAAUGGCUGGUACAGAGAGUGGCGAGCCUGUGAGGGUGAGCGAAUCUCGGAAAGCCGGUCUCAGUUCGGAUUGGGGUCUGCAACUCGACCUCAUGAAGUCGGAGUCGCUAGUAAUCGCAGAUCAGCAACGCUGCGGUGAAUACGUUCCCGGGGCU